UAGUCCACGCCGUAAACGAUGUCUACUAGCCGUUGGGGAACUUGAUUCCUUAGUGGCGCAGCUAACGCGAUAAGUAGACCGCCUGGGGAGUACGACCGCAAGGUUAAAACUCAAAUGAAUUGACGGGGGCCCGCACAAGCGGUGGAGCAUGUGGUUUAAUUCGAUGCAACGCGAAGAACCUUACCAAGACUUGACAUCCAGAGAAUUUACUAGAGAUAGUUUAGUGCCUUCGGGAACUCUGUGACAGGUGCUGCAUGGCUGUCGUCAGCUCGUGUUGUGAAAUGUUGGGUUAAGUCCCGUAACGAGCGCAACCCUUGUCCUUAGUUGCCAGCGAGUAAUGUCGGGAACUCUAAGGAGACUGCCGGUGACAAGCCGGAGGAAGGUGGGGAUGACGUCAAAUCAGCACGGCCCUUAUGUCCAGGGCUACACACGUGCUACAAUGGCCGGUACAAUGAGCCGCGAUGCCGCGAGGUGGAGCAAAUCUCAAAAACCGGUCUCAGUUCGG
This 505-nucleotide ribosomal RNA is filed under the name uncultured bacterium. Its description in RNAcentral is "bacterial SSU rRNA". It matches the Rfam family "Bacterial small subunit ribosomal RNA", at positions 791 to 1296 of the family's 1533-position model. The record is from RNAcentral.